GGAAUGUAGCUUAGUGGUAGAAUGCAUAUUUAGCAUGAAAAAGGCCCUGGGUUUGAUCCCCAGCGUCCA
Molecule: transfer RNA, 69 nt
Filed under: Marmota monax (woodchuck)
Lineage: Eukaryota; Metazoa; Chordata; Mammalia; Rodentia; Sciuridae
Description: tRNA.Ala
Source: RNAcentral